Molecule: non-coding RNA, 94 nt
Organism: Arthromyces matolae
Lineage: Eukaryota; Fungi; Basidiomycota; Agaricomycetes; Agaricales; Lyophyllaceae
Source: the annotation of a GenBank genome assembly
GGGGGCAUAGCUCAUCUGGGAGAGCAGCAGACUGAAGUAGCCGAUUGGAUGCUAUAAUUUCUGAAGGUCCCGCGUUCGAUCCGCGGUGCCCCCA